RNAcentral lists this ribosomal RNA (252 nucleotides) under uncultured bacterium. RNAcentral's name for it is "partial 16S ribosomal RNA". It matches the Rfam family "Bacterial small subunit ribosomal RNA", at positions 524 to 776 of the family's 1533-position model. The record is from RNAcentral.
UACGUAGGGUGCGAGCGUUAAUCGGAAUUACUGGGCGUAAAGCGUGCGCAGGCGGUUCGUUGUGUCGGUGGUGAAAGCCCCGGGCUUAACCUGGGAAUGGCCAUGGAAACUGGCGAACUGGAGUGUGGCAGAGGGGGGUGGAAUUCCGCGUGUAGCAGUGAAAUGCGUAGAGAUGCGGAGGAACACCGAUGGCGAAGGCAGCCCCCUGGCUAGCACUGACGCUCAGGCACGAAAGCGUGGGGAGCAAACAGG